RNAcentral lists this unclassified non-coding RNA (146 nucleotides) under soil metagenome. RNAcentral's name for it is "partial internal transcribed spacer 1". The record is from RNAcentral.
UAAUAAGUGUUUUAGUGGCACUUUUUAAAUCCAUAUCCACCUUGUGUGCAAUGUCAGUCGAUCUUCUUCAUGGAGAUCGACCAAACAUCAACCUUUAUCUUUUAACUCUUUGUCUGAAAAAUAUUAUGAAUAAACAAUUCAAAAUA